AAAAACAUGUCCUUUAGAGUUUAAUUUAAGGUCUGACCUGCCCACUGAGUUAAAUGGCCGCAGUAUUUUAACUGUGCAAAGGUAGCAUAAUCAUUAGUCUUUUAAUUGGAGGCUUGUAUGAAUGGUUGGACGAAAUAUUAACUGUUUCAUAGAAAUAUUUAGAAUUUUAUUUUUUAGUUAAAAAGCUAAAAUGUUUUUAAAAGACGAGAAGACCCUAUAGAUCUUUAUAAUUUUAUUAUUAUAGUUAUUUAGAUUAUUUAAAUUAUAUAUAUAUAAAUUAUUUUGUUGGGGUGACAUUAAAAUUUAUUUAACUUUUAAUAUAUUUUUACAUUGAUUUAUGAAUAAUUGAUCCAUUAUUAGUGAUUAUAAGUUUAAGUUACCUUAGGGAUAACAGCGUAAUCUUUUUGGAGAGUUCAUAUCGAUAAAAAGGAUUGCGACCUCGAUGUUGGAUUAAGAUAUAAUUUUGGGUGCAGCAAUUCAUUAAUUAAGUCUGUUCGACUUUUAAUUUCUUACAUGA
Molecule: ribosomal RNA, 517 nt
Filed under: Nanexila gracilis
Lineage: Eukaryota; Metazoa; Arthropoda; Insecta; Diptera; Therevidae
Description: partial 16S ribosomal RNA
Rfam family: Bacterial large subunit ribosomal RNA
Source: RNAcentral